RNAcentral lists this long non-coding RNA (421 nucleotides) under Elaeis guineensis (African oil palm). RNAcentral's name for it is "long non-coding RNA (EGUI_LNC036489)". Lineage: Eukaryota; Viridiplantae; Streptophyta; Magnoliopsida; Arecales; Arecaceae. The record is from RNAcentral.
AGUUUCCAGCCUCUCCCUGAGGAGCCUUCCCCCAUUUUCACUGUCGCACCAUUAGAGCUGUCAGAGGGUGCUACAGAGGCAGGUCUGAGUGGUAUUUUAAUAUUUUUUAUAUAAUAAAAUUUGAUUUUAGUUGUAUCUGUUAACUUUAUAGAUAGCUAUCAUGCUAAUGAUGUAUUCAUUAUUGUUUCAGGCCAUUCGAUGCAGGUGGUGAGGUGAGGAUGAGGUUCAUCGAAGAAUCUCAUCCUGGAGCAUUAGAGACGUGAGCACGAGGGACAGUAUCUCCAUAUCGAGAUUUCACCCGGCUACACCAUGCCCAUUAUGUGAUGGUGCGAGCCAUGGCGGAUUGAGUUGGGUAUCAUAUGCCAUAGCUAUGCCCUUGUGAUGCUCUCCGAUUGGCAUCACAUUACAUUGGCUCAGAGAG